Molecule: ribosomal RNA, 497 nt
Filed under: uncultured bacterium
Lineage: Bacteria
Description: partial 16S ribosomal RNA
Rfam family: Bacterial small subunit ribosomal RNA
Source: RNAcentral
GAUGAACGCUGGCGGCGUGCCUAAUACAUGCAAGUCGAGCGAACGGACGAGAAGCUUGCUUUUCUGAUGUUAGCGGCGGACGGGUGAGUAACACGUGGAUAACCUACCUAUAAGACUGGGAUAACUUCGGGAAACCGGAGCUAAUACCGGAUAAUAUUUUGAACCGCAUGGUUCAAAAGUGAAAGACGGUCUUGCUGUCACUUAUAGAUGGAUCCGCGCUGCAUUAGCUAGUUGGUAAGGUAACGGCUUACCAAGGCAACGAUGCAUAGCCGGCCUGAGAGGGUGAUCGGCCACACUGGAACUGAGACACGGUCCAGACUCCUACGGGAGGCAGCAGUAGGGAAUCUUCCGCAAUGGGCGAAAGCCUGACGGAGCAACGCCGCGUGAGUGAUGAAGGUCUUCGGAUCGUAAAACUCUGCUAUUAGGGAAGAACAUAUGUGUAAGUAACUGUGCACAUCUUGACGGUACCUAAUCAGAAAGCCACGGCUAACUACGUG